CCUACGGGAGGCAGCAGUGAGGAAUAUUGGUCAAUGGACGGAAGUCUGAACCAGCCAUGCCGCGUGCAGGAUGACGGCUCUAUGAGUUGUAAACUGCUUUUGUAUUAGGGUAAACACCCCUACGUGUAGGGGCUUGAAAGUAUAAUACGAAUAAGGAUCGGCUAACUCCGUGCCAGCAGCCGCGGUAAUACGGAGGAUGCGAGCGUUAUCCGGAUUUAUUGGGUUUAAAGGGUGCGUAGGCGGUAUUUUAAGUUAGUGGUAAAACGUCGGGGCUUCACCUUGAUUGGCCAUUAAAACUGGAGUACUAGAGUACAGACGAGGUAGGCGGAAUAAGUUAAGUAGCGGUGAAAUGCUUAGAUAUAACUUAGAACCCCGAUAGCGAAGGCAGCUUACCAGACUGUUACUGACGCUGAAGCACGAGAGCGUGGGUAGCGAACAGGAUUAGAUACCCCAGUAGUC
This 459-nucleotide ribosomal RNA is filed under the name uncultured bacterium. RNAcentral's name for it is "partial 16S ribosomal RNA". It matches the Rfam family "Bacterial small subunit ribosomal RNA", at positions 338 to 795 of the family's 1533-position model. The record is from RNAcentral.